Molecule: non-coding RNA, 888 nt
Organism: Megalopta genalis
Lineage: Eukaryota; Metazoa; Arthropoda; Insecta; Hymenoptera; Halictidae
Source: RefSeq, a predicted model, not a curated record
UUCGCUACAAAUAACAAUCGCCAACGUCGACAAAAACAUAGCAUCUUCGGUGUAAUCAUGCUAAGAACAUUAGGCUCCGCAGCUAAGUCUCCAAAUUUACGGAACAAAUUACGGAUGUCUCCAUAGCGGAGCCAACGGAGCGCUAAAAGCGUUAAAUUUCGAGCGGGAGAACGGAAGAACGAAUUAUGGAUGCCCGGAAUCGGUACAGAGGAUACCCUGACCGAAGGCGAACGAAGGAUCCGGGGAUAUUAGGAAUUCGACGAAGAAAAAUUUGGACCAAAUUACAGGGACGCCGGCCGCUGGUUGUUCCGAGGUAAUUAAUAGCGACGGUGAUCAAUCAGGCGGAAACAUUCAUCGAUCGUCGGCCAGGUGGCUCGGAGAGCCGAGGGUGCCGGCGAACGAGCCUAAAAGAACACAGCGGCGGAAAGUGCGGCGGCGGAGAAAUGGUGGUGAAAGCAAGCAACAGGGACGACGCGAUCGGUCGCCGAAGGUGCUAAACGAACGGUGCGCGAUGGUCGUGUUGCUGGAUGGACGGUUGCUGUGCUGAAACAUGGAUCUCUCUCGCGAACGCAACAGAUUCCCUCGCUUACGUCACGUCGCGGCUCUAAUUGGACAACCGAAAGGAUGGAAUUCAUUCUUCAUUCGCGAGGACGGACGUUGUCGGCGGCAGUUAACGUUAGGAAAACACAAUUUGCCGGUUCCGGACGAGGCUCGCGAUGAAAUGCGAUCGGGAGACACGGACACCGCGCCGAGGACUACUCUCGGGGUAACUUGCGACAGAUAGCCCGGGUUAUCGGAAUACAAGGGGCUCGCUCGCGUUCCGAUGCUCGCCCACCGCCGAAGAAAUGAUGGCGGCGCGCCCGAGGGUCAACACUUUGCACUCGAGGC